RNAcentral lists this ribosomal RNA (252 nucleotides) under uncultured bacterium. RNAcentral describes it as "partial 16S ribosomal RNA". It matches the Rfam family "Bacterial small subunit ribosomal RNA", at positions 524 to 776 of the family's 1533-position model. The record is from RNAcentral.
UACGGAGGGUGCAAGCGUUAUCCGGAUUCACUGGGUUUAAAGGGUGCGUAGGUGGGCAGGUAAGUCAGUGGUGAAAUCUCCGGGCUUAACCCGGAACUGCCGUUGAUACUAUCUGUCUUGAAUAUAGUGGAGGUGAGCGGAAUAUGUCAUGUAGCGGUGAAAUGCUUAGAUAUGACAUAGAACACCCAUUGCGAAGGCAGCUCGCUACACUAUCAUUGACACUGAGGCACGAAAGCGUGGGGAUCAAACAGG